Molecule: non-coding RNA, 1286 nt
Organism: Micropterus salmoides (largemouth bass)
Lineage: Eukaryota; Metazoa; Chordata; Actinopteri; Centrarchiformes; Centrarchidae
Source: the annotation of a RefSeq genome assembly
CAUGACUUUGGUCUCCGUCCUCAUCUGGACUCUCCUCUGCUGCUGCUUGACAGAGUCCAGAGGCCAGAUCACAGUGACUCAGCCUGGAGCAGUGAGCUCUGCUCUGGGAGCCUCCGUCUCCAUCAGCUGCAAACACAGUCAGAGGGUAACUGUCGCAAGAAACAAAACUAAAGAUGUUCUCUCCUGGUACCAACAAAGAAAUGGAGAAACACCCAAACUUUUGAUUUACUUGGCUGAUCUGCGAGAAUCAGGGAUUCCAGAUCGUUUUACAGGCAGUGGAUCAAAGACUGACUUCACUCUGACCAUCAGUGGAGUUCAGGCUGAAGAUGCAGCAGUUUACUACUGUUUUGGAGAACACUUAAUCAACAGUCAGUAUGUGUUCACACAGUGAUACAACGUCGUACAAAAACCUCCCUCAGUUGGAGAGGAAAUGAUCUGACUCAACAGCUGCACUGAAACUAAAACAACAGAGGUUUAUAAAAAACAUUUAAACAAUAAUAAUAACACUUUAAACAUUUCAACACUAAAUAUAGUGUAUUUACUUUAACUUAAUAAUGUUUUAAUUAAAACAGGAUUUGAACCAUACUUCUGAACAUCGAGCUAACCUCUGUUGAAUUAUGAUUUAAUUUCUUUGAUAAGUAAAAUUCAUGCAGAGUGAUAACACAAGGACAGACAAAUUGUAAAUAUUACUUAUUAAUUUAUAUCGUACAUGUUUCAUAGAAACUCAAACUACCUUAAAAAUAUUAUCCCAAAUCUAAUUUUGUUCAUGUGAUAAAAUUACUAAUCAUGUCUAUAACAGCAUAUAUUUAUAACUAAAUCUGUGAUUUAUAUUCUAGCUAUCUUAUUAUUCUAUUUUUUUAUUUUAAUUUGUCUUUCUGUUUCUUCAGCAGUAGCAGUAUGUUAAUAGUUCCUGGUUGAAAUAACAGAUAACACUCGUUUUAUUUCUCUAUUCUUUUGAAAUAAUAAUUAAUGUAAUGCAAUUAAAAUAAUAAAGUGAUUACCAUUAAGACAGUUUCAAGUCUUCCUGCCAUGGGUUUUGUUCAUUUGUGCCGUCAGCCAUUACGCUCCACACACCCACAGCACCAAACUGACAGACUUUUUCCUGAUUAAAUCUGAGACGUUUAUCUGGUUGUAAAUGGUUGUAAAUAAUUAUUAUUGAUUGUAUAGUGUAAAUAGUAUGUUAAUACUUCUACAAUACUGCAUCUGUUUUUUUAUAUUCCUUUGUGCUGCUAUAUUGAACGAAAUUUCCCCUAAAGCAGAUUAAUAAAGUUAUAUCUUAUCUCACU